UACGUAGGGUGCAAGCGUUGUCCGGAAUUAUUGGGCGUAAAGAGCGUGUAGGCGGCCCGAUUAGUCCGCUGUGAAAGUCCAGGGCUCAACCCUCGGAUGCCGGUGGAUACUGUCGGGCUUGAGUACGGAAGAGGCGAGUGGAAUUCCCGGUGUAGUGGUGAAAUGCGUAGAUAUCGGAAGGAACACCAGUGGCGAAAGCGACUUCCUGGUCGAAUACUGACGUUCAUGUGCGAAAGCGUGGGGAGCAAACAGG
RNAcentral lists this ribosomal RNA (253 nucleotides) under uncultured bacterium. RNAcentral's name for it is "partial 16S ribosomal RNA". It matches the Rfam family "Bacterial small subunit ribosomal RNA", at positions 524 to 776 of the family's 1533-position model. The record is from RNAcentral.